GACGAACGCUGGCGGCGUGCUUAACACAUGCAAGUCGAGCGGUAAGGCCCUUUCGGGGUACACGAGCGGCGAACGGGUGAGUAACACGUGGGUGACCUGCCCUCAGCUCUGGGAUAAGCCUGGGAAACCGGGUCUAAUACCGGAUAUGACUCCAUGACGCAUGUUGUGGGGUGGAAAGCCUUGUGCGGCUGAGGAUGGGCCCGCGGCCUAUCAGCUUGUUGGUGGGGUGANGGCCUACCAAGGCGACGACGGGUAGCCGGCCUGAGAGGGCGACCGGCCACACUGGGACUGAGACACGGCCCAGACUCCUACGGGAGGCAGCAGUGGGGAAUCUUGCGCAAUGGGCGAAAGCCUGACGCAGCGACGCCGCGUGAGGGAUGACGGCCU
This 387-nucleotide ribosomal RNA is filed under the name uncultured bacterium. RNAcentral describes it as "bacterial SSU rRNA". It matches the Rfam family "Bacterial small subunit ribosomal RNA", at positions 28 to 417 of the family's 1533-position model. The record is from RNAcentral.